GCUCUUGGGUCCGUAAACCUCUUUUCCUCAAGGAAGAAGAAAGUGACGGUACUUGAGGAAUAAGCAUCGGCUAACUCCGUGCCAGCAGCCGCGGUAAUACGGAGGAUGCAAGCGUUAUCCGGAAUGAUUGGGCGUAAAGGGUCUGCAGGUGGAACUGAAAGUCUGCUGUUAAAGAGUUUGGCUUAACCAAAUAAAAGCGGUGGAAACUACAGAACUAGAGUGCGGUAGGGGCAAAAGGAAUUCCUGGUGUAGCGGUGAAAUGCGUAGAUAUCAGGAAGAACACCGGUGGCGAAAGCGUUUUGCUAGACCGUAACUGACACUGAGGGACGAAAGCUAGGGGAGCGAAUGGGAUUAGAUACCCCAGUAGUCCUAGCCGUAAACGAUGGAUACUAGGCGUGGCUUGUAUCGACCCGAGCCGUGCCGGAGCUAACGCGUUAAGUAUCCCGCCUGGGGAGUACGCACGCAAGUGUGAAACUCAAAGGAAUUGACGGGGGCCCGCACAAGCGGUGGAGUAUGUGGUUUAAUUCGAUGCAACGCGAAGAACCUUACCAAGACUUGACAUCCUGCGAAUCCCGGUGAAAGCUGGGAGUGCCUUAGGGAGCGCAGAGACAGGUGGUGCAUGGCUGUCGUCAGCUCGUGUCGUGAGAUGUUGGGUUAAGUCCCGCAACGAGCGCAACCCUCGUUUUUAGUUGCCAGCAUUAAGUUGGGCACUCUAGAGAGACUGCCGGUGACAAACCGGAGGAAGGUGGGGAUGACGUCAAGUCAGCAUGCCCCUUACGUCUUGGGCUACACACGUACUACAAUGCUACGGACAGAGGGCAGCGAGCCAGGGAUGGCAAGCGAAUCCAGAAACCGUAGCUCAGUUCAGAUCGAAGGCUGCAACUCGCCUUCGUGAAGGAGGAAUCGC
This 907-nucleotide ribosomal RNA is filed under the name Cylindrospermopsis raciborskii UFMG187. Its description in RNAcentral is "bacterial SSU rRNA". It matches the Rfam family "Bacterial small subunit ribosomal RNA", at positions 413 to 1335 of the family's 1533-position model. Lineage: Bacteria; Bacillati; Cyanobacteriota; Cyanophyceae; Nostocales; Aphanizomenonaceae. The record is from RNAcentral.